ACAAUUCUGAAUUAAAUGGAAGUACUGCCUCAAUAUCUCACUUCAACUAAAAAUAUAAAGCAAGCAUUCAAUAGAAGAAAUUCAAGCCGAUACAAUAUCUCUUUCACCCUGCUCUCAACUCCAAUUGGCCUUCCAUGAAACCAAUUCUUCACUUCAAACAAAAUAGCUCACCAAUCUAGCAGGAAAACGAAUACUGUCCAAAGUUGCCAUUGAAAAUAACCUCCAACUUCAUGUGUCCAUUCCACAAGUUAAGGGAAAAAGCAAUCUCUGCCAAUUCUGGAUUUAUAUGAUGCAUUGAUAAAUCAGGAAAAAGAAGGCCAUGAGGUAAGGUUGCUAAAAAAUCACAAUGAAUCAAAAGUAAUUUACCUCUCCAGGAAGGCUAAAUUGCCAAGAGCACAUGUUUCCUCUAAAGCACCAAAAACCA
This 424-nucleotide long non-coding RNA is filed under the name Gossypium raimondii (Peruvian cotton). RNAcentral describes it as "long non-coding RNA (GRAI_LNC007720)". The record is from RNAcentral. Lineage: Eukaryota; Viridiplantae; Streptophyta; Magnoliopsida; Malvales; Malvaceae.